This 484-nucleotide ribosomal RNA is filed under the name uncultured bacterium. RNAcentral describes it as "partial 16S ribosomal RNA". It matches the Rfam family "Bacterial small subunit ribosomal RNA", at positions 30 to 507 of the family's 1533-position model. The record is from RNAcentral.
AUUGAACGCUGGCGGCAGGCCUAACACAUGCAAGUCGAGCGGAUGAAGGGAGCUUGCUCCUGGAUUCAGCGGCGGACGGGUGAGUAAUGCCUAGGAAUCUGCAUGGUAGUGGGGGAUAACGUCCGGAAACGGGCGCUAAUACCGCAUACGUCCUGAGGGAGAAAGUGGGGGAUCUUCGGACCUCACGCUAUCAGAUGAGCCUAGGUCGGAUUAGCUAGUUGGUGGGGUAAAGGCCUACCAAGGCGACGAUCCGUAACUGGUCUGAGAGGAUGAUCAGUCACACUGGAACUGAGACACGGUCCAGACUCCUACGGGAGGCAGCAGUGGGGAAUAUUGGACAAUGGGCGAAAGCCUGAUCCAGCCAUGCCGCGUGUGUGAAGAAGGUCUUCGGAUUGUAAAGCACUUUAAGUUGGGAGGAAGGGCAGUAAGUUAAUACCUUGCUGUUUUGACGUUACCAACAGAAUAAGCACCGGCUAACUUCGUG